Molecule: long non-coding RNA, 2194 nt
Organism: Dreissena polymorpha
Lineage: Eukaryota; Metazoa; Mollusca; Bivalvia; Myida; Dreissenidae
Exons: 4
Source: RefSeq, a predicted model, not a curated record
CCCCUGAUUAGCCUGUGUGGACUGCACAGGCUAAUCUGGGAUGACAAAUUAUGCACAAGCAUUAUGUCCAGUUUUCUCAGAACAAUACACAAUUAUUCAAUUUUAAAAGUUAAAUGUUUACCGGGUAACAUUAUUCAUUUUUUUAUUAAAUAUUGGAUAUUGUGAAGACUAUGCUGUCUUAUUAACAAUAUUAAUGAAAACGUGUGUUUAUUAUAUUUUAUAAUGAAAAAUCAACCUAUGUAUAAAGAUACAUCUUGUUUAAAAAAUGAAAAAAACAACAACAUGUUUUUAAUAUGGAAGAGCGUCUAUAAACAUCAGUGUCCUUUCUUCUAAAGGAUUUCUUUGAGAGGCAUGCAGAAUCCAGCCACUACUACUUCCAGUUAAAGAAGUGUUCAUCCGAUGAAUGUGGCUACUGCUCAGUCAACCCAGUCCGAAAUCAGGAUGUUUUUGACCGCCUCAGGUUCCUCCCUGAACCAAAGCCGGACGAAAAUGGUGAACACUACCUACCAUUCAGUGAGUUGUUUGGGAAAGAUCUGACCCGUGACAAGUACAGGCCCUCAACCAGACCAUGUGGAACCUAUGAUGAGGAAUUACAAAACCAUGACAGAGAGAAUCGAGAAAUUUUGAGGAAUGAUAAGCUUCGAGAUGCUGUCCUUUGCGGAGAAUGUAGCAGGCCAAGAUGUGUCUUCAGUCCAAACAAGCUUGACCGACAACAGGAGGAAUUCUUGCGGAACAUUUAGGCAUGCCAUUCGUAUAUCUGUGGAGAUCAGUUGGAAGAUGCACCUGACCUGUAUGUUCGGAGAUGCGUGACCUGCAGCUCUGAGGUGGAAACAGCUUAUUACUCAGCCAAGUGUCGGCAUUACCUUCCACCAGUGUGCAUCCACUGUGGAACUCCUGACAGUGUGUUAGAUGACAACGAUGCAUAUGUUGCAGAUUUGUAUACAAAAUAUUCCAUAGUCAGGCCAAUUUGUGUGUCUUGUCGACAUUCUGGAAAAGAGGAAAAAACAUGAGGCGCCAAGAAGUUUGUAAAAAAACAAAAAGUCAAGUGAACUCAUUCAAGCCUUCAAACGUUCCUACUUUGAUUUGGUUUGUAAAUGAGACCAAAGCAAAAGUAUGUGUUUAUGAUGACCAUCAUCAUCAUGUUUAUAAAUGUUAACAUUGUUUUGUGUUAAGAUUAAAGUUGAUACUAGUCAUUUGUGAUGGCACUGUUCUUGGAAAAGUAUGUUUUAUUGUAAAUUGAUGUGUUUUUUAAAUAGUCAUGCUAAAUAUUGUUAUACUACUAUUGUUAUAAAUAUAUAUUAUAGUACUAGUCAUUUAAUAAAUAUACUAGAACUGAUACUAGUCUUUUUAUGCCCCCGGUAGGGUGGCAUAUAGCAGUUGAACUGUCCGUCUGUCUGUCCGUCCGAAAACUUUAACAUUGGCCAUACUUUUUUCAAUAUUGAAGAUAGCAACUUGAUAUUUGGCAUGCAUGUGUAUCUCAUGGAGCUUCACAUUUUGAGUGGUGAAAGGUCAAGUUCAUGUAAAAAAAAAAUAUAUAUAUAUUUUCAAAGCGGCGCAGUAGGGGGCAUUGUGUUUCUGACAAACACAUCUCUUGUUUGGCACUCAAAUAAGGCAAAUAUAUGUUACUGUGCUAUGUUAAAAUAAAGGGCUCCUACUAAUCACAUCUUUAAAUAGUUUUGAUUAAAAGGCAUGUGUUUUAUAUUAAAAUAAAAAACUUUAACUAUUCAUUUCUUAUUGUUCUUUCAUAAGGAAGUUAUGUUUUUUUUUAUACUUUACAAAACUUAAACUUCUCAUUUCUAAUUUUAACAUUGCUAAACUAACCAAAGUAAUGCAUUUGAGUAUAAUGUAUACUACUACAUGUAUAACCUAUGAUAUUUAGAACUGAUACAGAUUCAAGAUAUUUCUUAUGCUUGAUGUUUAGCAUAUUAUUUAUUGUCAUGUUAUUUAACUUUCAUUGACAGAAGACUGAGCUUCUUAUAUAACUUUGCUAGUGAAAAGUACAGUGUACCAUGUUAACAUUAAGUAGUCACUACCUGUUGUGAAUAAGCAGAAUAACUGUUGGAGAAUAUUUUGUUUAUCAUACUUUUACAAACAUUGGACUAGAGUAAAACAUAGUACUACUAAAUGACCUUGUGUUUGUAUUUUGAAGAUAUCAUGCAUUUAUUUGGCAACAAAUAUCAAUUUACAGAGACAA